UGGGGAAUAUUGGACAAUGGGCGCAAGCCUGAUCCAGCAAUGCCGCGUGUGUGAAGAAGGCCUUCGGGUUGUAAAGCACUUUUAUCAGGAGCGAAACGCUGUCGGCUAAUACCCGGCGGAACUGACGGUACCUGAGGAAUAAGCACCGGCUAACUUCGUGCCAGCAGCCGCGGUAAUACGAAGGGUGCAAGCGUUAAUCGGAAUUACUGGGCGUAAAGCGUGCGUAGGCGGUUUCUUAAGUCUGCUGUGAAAUCCCCGGGCUCAACCUGGGAAUGGCAGUGGAUACUGGGAGGCUAGAGUGUGUCAGAGGGUGGUGAAUUCCCGGUGUAGCGGUGAAAUGCGUAGAGAUCGGGAGGAACAUCAGUGGCGAAGGCGGCCACCUGGGACAACACUGACGCUGAGGCACGAAAGCGUGGGGAGCAAACAGGAUUAGAUACCCUGGUAGUCCACGCCCUAAAGCGAUGCGAACUGGAUGUUGGUCUCAACUCGGAGAUCAGUGUCGAAGCUAACGCGUUAAGUUCGCCGCCUGGGGAGUACGGUCGCAAGACUGAAACUCAAAGGAAUUGACGGGGUCAUAGCUGUUUCCUG
This 588-nucleotide ribosomal RNA is filed under the name uncultured bacterium. Its description in RNAcentral is "partial 16S ribosomal RNA". It matches the Rfam family "Bacterial small subunit ribosomal RNA", at positions 355 to 1376 of the family's 1533-position model. The record is from RNAcentral.